Molecule: non-coding RNA, 59 nt
Organism: Oryctolagus cuniculus (rabbit)
Lineage: Eukaryota; Metazoa; Chordata; Mammalia; Lagomorpha; Leporidae
Source: Rfam
CUAUUAUGCUAAGUUGAGGGCUGUUUUAUUAUUAUCUUCAUUUUUAUCAUUAUUAAACC